This 495-nucleotide ribosomal RNA is filed under the name uncultured bacterium. RNAcentral's name for it is "bacterial SSU rRNA". It matches the Rfam family "Bacterial small subunit ribosomal RNA", at positions 15 to 507 of the family's 1533-position model. The record is from RNAcentral.
GAUCAUGGCUCAGGAUGAACGCUAGCGGCAGGCUUAACACAUGCAAGUCGAGGGGUAGUUGUCUUCGGAUAAUGAGACCGGCGCACGGGUGCGUAACGCGUAUACAAUCUACCUUUUAACAGAGGGAUAGCCCAGAGAAAUUUGGGAUUAAAUACCGUCAUAGUAUUUUUGAAUCGCAUGAUUUGAUUAUUAAAGUUCCAACGGUAAAAGAUGAGUAUGCGUCCCAUUAGCUAGAUGGUAAGGUAACGGCUUACCAUGGCUACGAUGGGUAGGGGUCCUGAGAGGGAGAUCCCCCACACUGGUACUGAGACACGGACCAGACUCCUACGGGAGGCAGCAGUGAGGAAUAUUGGUCAAUGGGCGCAAGCCUGAACCAGCCAUGCCGCGUGCAGGAAGACGGUCCUAUGGAUUGUAAACUGCUUUUAUUUGGGAAUAAACCUAUUUACGUGUAGAUAGCUGAAGGUACCAAAUGAAUAAGCACCGGCUAACUCCGUG